GGUUGAUCCUGCCAGUAGUCAUAUGCUUGUCUCAAAGAUUAAGCCAUGCAUGUCUAAGUAUAAGCUUUUAUACGGUGAAACUGCGAAUGGCUCAUUAAAACAGUUAUAGUUUAUUUGAUAGUACCUUACUACUUGGAUAACCGUAGUAAUUCUAGAGCUAAUACAUGCGUCAAAGCCCGACUUCUCGGAAGGGCUGUAUUUAUUAGAUUCAAAACCAUCUCGGGGAAACCCGGUUUUGGUGAUUCAUAAUAACUGAUCGAAUCGCAGUGCCUUCGGGCGGCGAUGAAUCAUU
Molecule: ribosomal RNA, 292 nt
Filed under: uncultured eukaryote
Lineage: Eukaryota
Description: partial 18S ribosomal RNA
Rfam family: Eukaryotic small subunit ribosomal RNA
Source: RNAcentral